RNAcentral lists this ribosomal RNA (253 nucleotides) under uncultured bacterium. Its description in RNAcentral is "partial 16S ribosomal RNA". It matches the Rfam family "Bacterial small subunit ribosomal RNA", at positions 524 to 776 of the family's 1533-position model. The record is from RNAcentral.
UACAGAGGGGGCAAGCGUUGUUCGGAAUUACUGGGCGUAAAGCGUGCGCAGGCGGUUCGCCAAGUCAGGUGUGAAAUCCCCGGGCUUAACCUGGGAAUUGCGCUUGAAACUGGCGGGCUUGAGUGUGGCAGAGGGGGGUGGAAUUCCACGUGUAGCAGUGAAAUGCGUAGAGAUGUGGAGGAACACCGAUGGCGAAGGCAGCCCCCUGGGCCAAUACUGACGCUCAUGCACGAAAGCGUGGGGAGCAAACAGG